CGGUGGGGGUCCAGGCGGGCGUUUGUCCUUCCCUACAAGUAAACAGAGCUUCAGGUGAGCGCUUGUCCCCGUUUAAGGGGUGCUGAAGGAAUGUUGGUCCCUCACAAGCAGUACACUGAAAUUCAAGGCCAGAUUGGGCCUUCAGUUUUCUUUAAGCAGAACUCCUCAUUAAAGUCAGUAAAGAGCUCUGUUUUGAAAUCAAUGGCACAUUAUGGCCCCAAGUGAGCACUUAAGGGAGAACUAUAAUUCCUUUCUAUUCCAUGGACUAACUAACUUCAGGAAAUAAAACAUUUUUUUGAGGAUUUUUUGUUUUUCUUUUUGACUUGAAUGCUGGUUCAGCUUGAAUAUAAAAAGACAGAAAUAGAGCAAGAUGGUUGGUAAGAUUUGUCCUUGGGUCACACUUAUGGGAGGGGGCAGGGGGGGUAGAAAAGAAAUCCCUCGGUUUCCAAUCAGUAAAUAUUGAAAAUUGCCCUCUCUGUGUGGACGGGCUGGUGGUGCGUCAAUUUCAAUGUAAGACGUGCAGUGUCUAUUCACUGUAGCCUUGGGUGCCCCCCCUGUCCCCCAGACUUAAACGAGACCUGCAGCAGGCUCCUGCCUGCGACACUUUGAGUUUCUGCUAUUUCAGCAAUAGGCUCCCAAAGCCAGGAUAAUGUGAACGGGAGAGGCUUAAAACAAACAAGCGAUUGAGGGGUCCAAAUCGCUCUUUCAGGCACACGCAGCUAAACCUUCCUUCGCGGGAGAGGGCGGUGGUUUUUAAUCUCGCCUCCGAAUUCCUCCCGAGCGGGGGGUCUCCCCUCGGCGAGGGGCGGGCGGCAGAGGUGAGUGGCUCUCCUCGCCCCGCGCGAGGGGAGUGGGUGGCAGAGAGGGGAGGACAGGCGAGUUGCGUAGCAGGGCGAGGUGGGUUUCCAUGCUCGGCAAUUGCGCACGGUCCCUUACGUAACCGUCAGCUGGGGAUUCCCUGGAGGGGGUCACUUUAUUCAACCAUUACACAGACCCCGGCCGCCGCCGCUCCGCCGCGCCCGGGGCCGCCGCCGGCUGAGGCUGAGGCUGCGGCUCCGGCUGCAGGCAGCGCGGCGGCGGCUCCUCACAAAAUGGCGGCGCCCAUGGAAGCGGCAGCAGCCCCAUUUUGUGCCCGGCAGAGCCUGUCAACAAAACGCCGACUUGGCCAAGGCUGAGGAACAGAAGGCGGCGGCUUCGUUCGCGUUACGGCGCGGAGGGAGGAGAGCGGAGGAUUUCACCGCCCUCCCGCCGCCGAGAGGAGACUUUUCUACAAAUGCGUGCCUUAUGAAUAAACCGGCUAUUAGGCUGAUGCUUCAAGUAACACUAUCCAGCACCAAGCUUGCUUCUUUAGCGUGUACCUGGAAUAGAUGGAGAUCCCAUACGAUAUGGCUGAGAAGCUAUAUUUGUAUUAUACCACCUGUUUGGCUGUUUUUGUGGUGAUGGGGGCUCCCCUCUCCUUUGAGGCAGAGAAAGGGUUUAUGAAUUAAGGCUUUUUUUUUCCUGAUUUACCUGAUUUAAUAUUGCAUGCGUUUUAAUGAUGCCUAAAUAAAAGUGUUAACCUAUUUCA
Molecule: long non-coding RNA, 1567 nt
Filed under: Anser cygnoides (Swan goose)
Lineage: Eukaryota; Metazoa; Chordata; Aves; Anseriformes; Anatidae
Description: lncRNA (ENSACDG00005017124.1)
Source: RNAcentral